GGCGUAGAGGGCUCCGCAGGCGGUUUUUUAAGUUUGAAUGUUGAAAGCCCCCGGCUUAACCGGGGAGGGUCAUUGGAAACUUGGGGAACUUGAGUUGCAGAAGAGGAGAGUGGAAUUCCACGUUGUAGCGGUGAAAUUGCGUAGAGAUGUGGAGGAACACCAGUGGCGAAGGCGACUCUCUGGUCUGUAACUGACGCUGAGGAGCGAAAGCGUGGGGAGCGAACAGGAUUAGAUACCCUGGUAGUCCACGCCGUAAACGAUGAGUGCUAAGUGUUAGGGGGUUUCCGCCCCUUAGUGCUGCAGCUAACGCAUUAAGCACUCCGCCUGGGGAGUACGGUCGCAAGACUGAAACUCAAAGGAAUUGACGGGGGCCCGCACAAGCGGUGGAGCAUGUGGUUUAAUUCGAAGCAACGCGAAGAACCUUACCAGGUCUUGACAUCCUCUGACAAUCCUAGAGAUAGGACGUCCCCUUCGGGGGCAGAGUGACAGGUGGUGCAUGGUUGUCGUCAGCUCGUGUCGUGAGAUGUUGGGUUAAGUCCCGCAACGAGCGCAACCCUUGAUCUUAGUUGCCAGCAUUCAGUUGGGCACUCUAAGGUGACUGCCGGUGACAAACCGGAGGAAGGUGGGGAUGACGUCAAAUCAUCAUGCCCCUUAUGACCUGGGCUACACACGUGCUACAAUGGACAGAACAAAGGGCAGCGAAACCGCGAGGUUUAGCCAAUCCCACAAAUCUGUUCUCAGUUCGGAUCGCAGUCUGCAACUCGACUGCGUGAAGCUGGAAUCGCUAGUAA
RNAcentral lists this ribosomal RNA (791 nucleotides) under Bacillus subtilis. RNAcentral describes it as "bacterial SSU rRNA". It matches the Rfam family "Bacterial small subunit ribosomal RNA", at positions 557 to 1341 of the family's 1533-position model. The record is from RNAcentral. Lineage: Bacteria; Bacillati; Bacillota; Bacilli; Caryophanales; Bacillaceae.